RNAcentral lists this ribosomal RNA (498 nucleotides) under uncultured bacterium. RNAcentral describes it as "partial 16S ribosomal RNA". It matches the Rfam family "Bacterial small subunit ribosomal RNA", at positions 899 to 1397 of the family's 1533-position model. The record is from RNAcentral.
ACUCAAAUGAAUAGACGGGGGCCCGCACAAGCGGUGGAGCAUGUGGUUUAAUUCGAUGCUACGCGAAAAACCUUACCUAGAUUUGACAUCCCGGGCUAUCCUAGGAAACUAGGAGUUCUCUUCGGAGACCCGGUGACAGGUGCUGCAUGGCUGUCGUCAGCUCGUGUUGUGAGAUGUUGGGUUAAGUCCCGCAACGAGCGCAACCCGUAUCAUUAGUUACCAUCAUUUAGUUGGGCACUCUAAUGAGACCGCUUGCCUAUAAGGCAGAGGAAGGUGCGGAUGACGUCAAGUCCUCAUGGCCUUUAUAUCUAGGGCUACACACGUGCUACAAUGGGACACACAAAGCGCAGCAAGCCAGCAAUGGCAAGCUAAUCGCAAAAAAUGUCUUUCAGUUCGGAUUGGAGUCUGCAAUUCGACUCCAUGAAGCUGGAAUCGCUAGUAAUCGCGGAUCAGCACGCCGCGGUGAAUACGUUCCCGGGCCUUGUACACACCGCCCGU